Molecule: non-coding RNA, 148 nt
Filed under: Pan troglodytes (chimpanzee)
Lineage: Eukaryota; Metazoa; Chordata; Mammalia; Primates; Hominidae
Source: Rfam by way of RNAcentral
GCUGGGCACAGUGGUGUGUGCCUGUAGUCCCAGCUACUUGGGAGGCUGAGGCAGAAGAAUGGCUUGAACCCGGGAGGUGGAGGUUGCAGUGAGCCGAGAUUGCGCCACUGCACUCCACCCUGGGCAACAGAGCGAGACUCCGUCUCAA